CCUACGGGAGGCAGCAGUGGGGAAUAUUGGACAAUGGGCGAAAGCCUGAUCCAGCCAUGCCGCGUGUGUGAAGAAGGCCUUCGGGUUGUAAAGCACUUUCAGUGGGGAAGAAAGCCUUGGGGCUAAUACCCUCGAGGAAGGACAUCACCCACAGAAGAAGCACCGGCUAACUCCGUGCCAGCAGCCGCGGUAAUACGGAGGGUGCGAGCGUUAAUCGGAAUUACUGGGCGUAAAGCGCGCGUAGGCGGUCUGAUAAGCCGGUUGUGAAAGCCCCGGGCUCAACCUGGGAACGGCAUCCGGAACUGUCAGGCUAGAGUGCAGGAGAGGAAGGUAGAAUUCCCGGUGUAGCGGUGAAAUGCGUAGAGAUCGGGAGGAAUACCAGUGGCGAAGGCGGCCUUCUGGACUGACACUGACGCUGAGGUGCGAAAGCGUGGGUAGCAAACAGGAUUAGAUACCCGAGUAGUUC
This 466-nucleotide ribosomal RNA is filed under the name Vreelandella stevensii. Its description in RNAcentral is "partial 16S ribosomal RNA". It matches the Rfam family "Bacterial small subunit ribosomal RNA", at positions 338 to 796 of the family's 1533-position model. The record is from RNAcentral. Lineage: Bacteria; Pseudomonadati; Pseudomonadota; Gammaproteobacteria; Oceanospirillales; Halomonadaceae.